This 662-nucleotide unclassified non-coding RNA is filed under the name Hevea brasiliensis (rubber tree). The record is from RNAcentral. Lineage: Eukaryota; Viridiplantae; Streptophyta; Magnoliopsida; Malpighiales; Euphorbiaceae.
AUUAAAAUUCAAUGGGCAAAGUAUAGCUUAUAAAAGGUUUAAGGCCUGAUUACGAAGAAAACCAAUCUAGAGUAGAUUCAUCCACAGCUUAGAACCUAAUCCAGUUAAACCCUAACCCUAAAAUUAUGGGAUGCCACCACCAACAGGAUUGAUUGGAAGGUAUCGCUGGAGAUCAGAGGGAGAGUUUCUUCUGUCAAAACCUUGCUAACUCUUGGAUGACCUUCCAAGGACAAGAAAGAAACUCAUUAACCAAAGAAAUAACAUCUUCACCUGUAAAACCACUAAGCUCAGAACCAACCAUCAAUAGAGGAAGGAGGAAGGUAGAGGCCAUGGCAUUCUAGCUAUAGGAAAACUAGCAACAGAAUUUUCACAUGGCAACUCUAGAUCCUCGAUUUGCCUUCCUUGGAAUCCACUCACAAGUCGAAUGCUUGCUCUGCCCACCAACACUAAAUACAACCAGCAUCAAGGAGGACAGAACCAUGUCAUACAUGGAAUCUUCAACCAAUAGCUGUGCAACAAGAAAAACAAAAUCCUCUCUAGAUCACACAUCUUGCAAAUCAAAACAAAGUUCAAAACUAAUUACAGCCUCCCUAAUGAUGAGGAGAGAAGGCUUCUCCUACUUAAAGUGCAGAGGACGGCUCAACAUAGCUAAGAAAACUCGG